CACACUUGCUCUACAUAUUGUAAGUCCACUCCAAAUGAAAAAGUUCACAAAAAUUCUGCAGCUUCCUGUAGCUCUAGCACCACACUCUGAGAUAGCUAGCCUUUCUGCAGCGGCACUACCACCGACGCAGCACACAAGAAAAGAAAAAAAAUAGAAAAAACUAGUUGUUCCAUGAAGAGGCCAACAGUCUUGUCGCUUGCCUCGACCAACAGCACGGAGUAAAGGUUGGUGAUGACCAUUGUCAAUGACGAGCAGCUCUUACACCAGAACAGUAAUGCUAAAUCCAAAUUUCCUUGGCCACUUGUAAUACCAACACCAACCCACAACACAAAGCAAUGGGAAAACGUAGUAUCAUACCACCAAGCAAAGUAACGAUCAGCAAAUCGGAACCAAGGACUAACGUGAGCCAUUGACCAAUCAUCACGAUUCAGCUCACUUGCACAUCGCAAAAGUCCAACGUAAAAAAUGGAGAGAGUAGUAUUGUUUACACAAUGUCGACGAAAAAGGGUGCAGU
RNAcentral lists this long non-coding RNA (514 nucleotides) under Physcomitrium patens. RNAcentral's name for it is "long non-coding RNA (PPAT_LNC012826)". Lineage: Eukaryota; Viridiplantae; Streptophyta; Bryopsida; Funariales; Funariaceae. The record is from RNAcentral.